This 374-nucleotide ribosomal RNA is filed under the name uncultured bacterium. Its description in RNAcentral is "bacterial SSU rRNA". It matches the Rfam family "Bacterial small subunit ribosomal RNA", at positions 523 to 898 of the family's 1533-position model. The record is from RNAcentral.
AUACGUAGGGGGCAAGCGUUGUCCGGAAUCACUGGGCGUAAAGCGUGCGUAGGCGGUUGUGUAAGUCUGAAGUGAAAGUCCAAGGCUCAACCUUGGGAUUGCUUUGGAAACUGCAUGACUUGAGUGCUGGAGAGGCAAGGGGAAUUCCACGUGUAGCGGUGAAAUGCGUAGAUAUGUGGAGGAAUACCAGUGGCGAAGGCGCCUUGCUGGACAGUGACUGACGCUGAGGCACGAAAGCGUGGGGAGCAAACAGGAUUAGAUACCCUGGUAGUCCACGCCGUAAACGAUGAGUGCUAGGUGUUGGGGGGACACACCCCAGUGCCGAAGGAAACCCAAUAAGCACUCCGCCUGGGGAGUACGGUCGCAAGACUGAA